CUAAACACAAUCCAUGAGACAUAACUAUCAUUCAGAGUUCGCAUCCAUUAGACUUCAGCUAGGGAAAAUAUCCAAGCCUAGAACAAGAUGUUGCUUUUUACUGUGUCUUCUAUAUUACCUCUCUAGUGGUUUUUUGAAGACUCUUUGACAUGAAAUACAUUCACCUGGUGAUUCAGAUUCUAAUCUACUGCUAAUUGAAAGAAGACUUAAACCUUCAGUACUCCGCCUCUAAGACUGUUCAUAACUAAUGGAAUUCUAUCAUGAGAGCUGCAGGAAGCACCUUUGACCACACCCUGACUGCAGUGGGAGACAUUGUCGGGCUCAGCGGCUGCCACCACUGGAGAGACAAAUGCAAGCAGUUUGAUCAGAAGUAUCUGAGCAAGCUGCUAAUGAGGAAGUCUGUGUACCGCAAGGGUGAGCUAUGGGACGCGUACUAGAAGAUCAACAUCAGAGAUGCCAUAACCAUCAUUGACCAGGUAAGAUUUUCCUAUUUAUCGUAAAAUGGGAUGAGAUGUAUUCCAGUGACCCU
This is a long non-coding RNA of Anguilla anguilla (European eel), 529 nucleotides long. RefSeq lists it as uncharacterized. The record is from RefSeq and is a predicted model, not a curated record. Lineage: Eukaryota; Metazoa; Chordata; Actinopteri; Anguilliformes; Anguillidae. The transcript has 3 exons.